GAAAGAAAAAAAGAAAAAUUGGAGAUUUCUUCUUAGACUUGGAUUGAAGCCUAAUUUGGAGGUUCGGGUGACACGUGGAUACGAGGUGAGUGAUUUAAUACCUAAACACAUGGUUUUGAACUUGUUUUCCUUAUCGAACUUAUUUGAACAAGUUUUAUAAAUUGUGUACUCCAUGGAUACCAAUGGAAGGUGGAUCUAUUUGUGAAAUAUUUACGAAUCUAUUUAAUGGCAUUCCCAACGUCCGGUCUUGCUAGGGGACGGCUUAAUGACUAACAAGGGUGUUUGAGGUUGGUGUGUGUUUUGGGAUAAUGCGUAGACGUCUGGCUUAUCCACUACCAGGGACGCCUGGUAGCUUUGAAUUUUGAAUAGCGGAAUGUGCAUUAUAUUUGGCCUAUGGAUUUGAGUUCUUAUUUUGAAAUUCUAUCAAAUUAUUUUGCAUUGUCCAUGGAAGGCAUGUGAGUUAUGUAUUAAUCAUUCACACGAGCUUUGGCUUAUGUAUUUUCUUUUCCACCUUUCAGGAAGCAAUGUGUAGGGUGGCGUGAUGUUUUACUUUUGGAGUGUGUCGUAUUUCUUUUUGGAAACUUGUAUAGAGGAAAUUGUGCUUGUGGACACUUAACUUUGUACAUGGUUUGUUAGCUUUUGAGUUUGUAGUUUGUAAGUAAGCACAUCUCUGAUAGGUUUACUUUUGGUUUGUAAAACCUAUGUAAGACUUUGAUUUGUUAUCAAUAAAAGUUGACUUUUGCUUC
Molecule: long non-coding RNA, 746 nt
Organism: Rhododendron vialii
Lineage: Eukaryota; Viridiplantae; Streptophyta; Magnoliopsida; Ericales; Ericaceae
Exons: 2
Source: RefSeq, a predicted model, not a curated record